This 1332-nucleotide ribosomal RNA is filed under the name uncultured bacterium. Its description in RNAcentral is "bacterial SSU rRNA". It matches the Rfam family "Bacterial small subunit ribosomal RNA", at positions 28 to 1381 of the family's 1533-position model. The record is from RNAcentral.
GACGAACGCUGGCGGCGCGCCUAACACAUGCAAGUCGAACGAGAGAUGAGGAGCUUGCUCUUCAAAUCGAGUGGCGAACGGGUGAGUAACGCGUGAGGAACCUGCCUCAAAGAGGGGGACAACAGUUGGAAACGACUGCUAAUACCGCAUAAGCCCACGGCUCGGCAUCGAGCAGAGGGAAAAGGAGCAAUCCGCUUUGAGAUGGCCUCGCGUCCGAUUAGCUAGUUGGUGAGGUAACGGCCCACCAAGGCAACGAUCGGUAGCCGGACUGAGAGGUUGAACGGCCACAUUGGGACUGAGACACGGCCCAGACUCCUACGGGAGGCAGCAGUGGGGAAUAUUGCACAAUGGGGGAAACCCUGAUGCAGCGACGCCGCGUGGAGGAAGAAGGUCUUCGGAUUGUAAACUCCUGUUGUUGAGGAAGAUAAUGACGGUACUCAACAAGGAAGUGACGGCUAACUACGUGCCAGCAGCCGCGGUAAAACGUAGGUCACAAGCGUUGUCCGGAAUUACUGGGUGUAAAGGGAGCGCAGGCGGGAGAACAAGUUGGAAGUGAAAUCCAUGGGCUCAACCCAUGAACUGCUUUCAAAACUGUUUUUCUUGAGUAGUGCAGAGGUAGGCGGAAUUCCCGGUGUAGCGGUGGAAUGCGUAGAUAUCGGGAGGAACACCAGUGGCGAAGGCGGCCUACUGGGCACCAACUGACGCUGAGGCUCGAAAGUGUGGGUAGCAAACAGGAUUAGAUACCCUGGUAGUCCACACCGUAAACGAUGAUUACUAGGUGUUGGAGGAUUGACCCCUUCAGUGCCGCAGUUAACACAAUAAGUAAUCCACCUGGGGAGUACGACCGCAAGGUUGAAACUCAAAGGAAUUGACGGGGGCCCGCACAAGCAGUGGAGUAUGUGGUUUAAUUCGACGCAACGCGAAGAACCUUACCAAGUCUUGACAUCCCUUGACGAUGCUGGAAACAGUAUUUCUCUUCGGAGCAAGGAGACAGGUGGUGCAUGGUUGUCGUCAGCUCGUGUCGUGAGAUGUUGGGUUAAGUCCCGCAACGAGCGCAACCCUUAUGGUCAGUUACUACGCAAGAGGACUCUGGCCAGACUGCCGUUGACAAAACGGAGGAAGGUGGGGAUGACGUCAAAUCAUCAUGCCCUUUAUGACUUGGGCUACACACGUACUACAAUGGCGUUAAACAAAGAGAAGCAAGACCGCGAGGUGGAGCAAAACUCAGAAACAACGUCCCAGUUCGGACUGCAGGCUGCAACUCGCCUGCACGAAGUCGGAAUUGCUAGUAAUCGUGGAUCAGCAUGCCACGGUGAAUACGUUCCCGGGCCU